AUUGAACGCUGGCGGCAGGCCUAACACAUGCAAGUCGAGCGGAUGAAGGGAGCUUGCUCCUGGAUUCAGCGGCGGACGGGUGAGUAAUGCCUAGGAAUCUGCCUGGUAGUGGGGGAUAACGUCCGGAAACGGGCGCUAAUACCGCAUACGUCCUGAGGGAGAAAGUGGGGGAUCUUCGGACCGCACGCUAUCAGAUGAGCCUAGGUCGGAUUAGCUAGUUGGUGGGGUAAAGGCCUGCCAGGGCGACGAUCCGUAACUGGUCUGAGAGGAUGAUCGGUCACACUGGAACUGAGGCACGGUCCAGACACCUACGGGAGGCAGCAGUGGGGAAUAUUGGACGAUGGGCGAAAGCCUGAUCCAGCCAUGCCGCGUGUGUGAAGAAGGUCUUCGGAUUGUAAAGCGCUUUAAGUUGGGAGGAAGGGCAGUAAGUUAAUACCUUGCUGUUUUGACGUUACCAACAGAAUAAGCACCGGCUAACUUCGUG
This 484-nucleotide ribosomal RNA is filed under the name uncultured bacterium. RNAcentral describes it as "partial 16S ribosomal RNA". It matches the Rfam family "Bacterial small subunit ribosomal RNA", at positions 30 to 507 of the family's 1533-position model. The record is from RNAcentral.